NNNNNNACCUGGCAGGGGAGAUACCAUGAUCAUCAAAGUGGUUUUCCCAGGGUGAGGCUCAUCUAUUGCACUUUGGAUGUGCUGACCUCUGUGAUUUCCCCAAAUGUGGGAAAAUCGACUGCCUAAGGGGGAGACUGUGUUUGUGGCUUCCCC
Molecule: small nuclear RNA, 153 nt
Filed under: Pogona vitticeps (central bearded dragon)
Lineage: Eukaryota; Metazoa; Chordata; Lepidosauria; Squamata; Agamidae
Description: U1 spliceosomal RNA (ENSPVIG00000023546.1)
Rfam family: U1 spliceosomal RNA
About the family: U1 is a small nuclear RNA (snRNA) component of the spliceosome (involved in pre-mRNA splicing).
Source: RNAcentral